Long non-coding RNA from Equus asinus (donkey), 2197 nucleotides. The record is from Ensembl. Lineage: Eukaryota; Metazoa; Chordata; Mammalia; Perissodactyla; Equidae.
AGUAAUUCCAGUGAUAUUAAGGACACUCGAUGGCUGAUUAGAUGAGAGUGAGGAGUUAACAUACCUAGGUUUUUUGGACUGAACAACUUGGACAAACAGAAGGAAGACUAGAAUUAGGAACCGGGUGAUACCUCCAGCUUCGGAGAUGCCAGCUAUCUGGAAGAAACCGUCUAGAAUGCUCUCACUGUUAUUUCUUCAUGGUCUGGAGAAAACAAGCGACUUGCCCAGUGUUUCACAAUGGUUAUAUGGACUGAAUAUUUGUGUCCUCCCCAAGUUCAUAUGUGGUGCCCCAACCCUCAGUGUGGCUUUGGCAGAUAGAGCCUAUAUGGAGGCACGCACUAAGGAAAGGCCACGUGAGGACAUAACAAGAAGGGGGCCAUCUACGAGUCAGGAAGAGAGUCCUUGCCAGAAAUCCUGCUGGAAACAUGAUCUUGGCCUUUUCAGCCUCCAGACAUUGCCGUGAAGGUGACAAAAUACUUCCAGGCUUGUAGCGCAGAGCAGGAGAACGAGUCUCAGAGGAAGAAGGUGACUCCACCACGGUCUCCUCGGGGUGUGUAUUGGUGCUGGGAACAGAACACAGGACUUCUGACUGUCAAUCCACAAUUUCCUCUGUGAAACCAGGUUGCCUCAUGAAAUGGAAGGACAACAGGCCUACUGAGGCAUGGCCGGUUGUAAAUCCGGGAACUGUUGAUGUUCCGUCAGUUGUUACUGAGGCUCUCUGUAACCUGCACCAAGAAGAGGAGAAAGGAUUUGGGAAGCUGCUCAUAUCCUUUCUGGAUUAGAAAGCCUUGCCACUCAGACCCCUUUGCUUUCUUCGGGCCUCGCUGUCAGAGAUGCCUGAUGAUAUCUCCCAGAGCAAGACUUGAUUAGAUUAGCUACAGGAUAAGAAAUAGGAUAUUUGUAAAAGAACAUUAAAGAAAGGAACAGAAAGUGAAAGCAUUUUAGGACAAUAGGGAAAGACUUUCCUCUUCAGCUACAGUCUCACCUCUUACCUCCCCUGGCCCCUUUGCCCACUUUAACUUUAAAACCCCAGUGAGAAGAUGCAAGUGCUGCAUGCUGGACACAAUGUCCCCUGACACUCCCCCUGGGGCAGCAGGGUCUGCUGUCUGUCCCCUUGCUCAGCUUGGACAUCCACACUCUCUUCUAGUUGAUGGAGCCUGUGUGAAAAGCAAGGGGAUGUUUUUUUCUCUCCUUUGAGCUCUUCAGUCUUCAAGGAUUAGAUGUGAGGUUAGCAGGGACAAAGGUGAGGGCUGUGGAGGUGGUAAGGUAGAGAAGUGAAGUGAGAGUCAUCAUACAAGUUGAGGAAGACAAAGCAAAUAAACAGUCCUAAGUAGAACUAGAGAAAUUUCUGCACUUGAAUCUUUUUUUCUUUGUGUCUCCGUGCCCCCUCUGGAAGGAUUCCUUAGCACUAUCUUCCAGUUCACUCAUGCUCUCGUUGUGUUCAGUCUAUAGGUUAACUCAUUCACUGAGUUUUAUUUACAUACAUAUUUUUCAUUUUCAAGCUUUCUCAUUGGUUAUCUACAUAUUCUUGUUUUAUUUCUGUCUGUUCUUCUUUCAUACUUUUUAUUCCACUCAGCGGAACAUUCUAAACAUUUGUUUCAUAGUAUUAGGUUAUCCAUAAAAUUUACUGCCUCUGGAGUAAGUUAAUGUUCCAACUGUUGAUGUUUUUGGCCAUCUUUCCCAUAGUUAGAUUUUUUCGUUUUGAUUUAAGAGCUAAUUUUGAGUAGGAUGAACAAAAUUGUUUUUCUCUUUCUCUUUCCCUCGGUGCUCCCCACUCACUUUCUAGCCACUCUAUGUUGCCUCUGCUCAGUCCCCGGCCUCAGUCCAGACUUAGGUCUUUCAGUGCCAUGUUGGUGGCAUUGAGGAGAUCACAGACUCAGUGGGAGGCUUGGUUCAUUCCUGGUCACCAGGCAGCUUGCAUAGAGGCAGAGCCUCCCCUGUGUCUGACUCGCCUCUUUUGGUGGGAAACCCGGAUGCAGCCCCUGGUUUCAAGCGUGAGACGGACUCAGGUUUCAUCACCUGAGUGGAGCACUUCAGGGCAUAACUAGCCUCAGGUUCUGAACCCACACCAGCCUCUGCAGCCUGGUCUAGCUCCUGCAUUAUGUAAAGGGCUAACCUACCUUUUUUAACGUAAAAUGGGGAUAAUAAUAUCUGCUUUUUAGAGUAAUGAAACUGAUUAGAAUGAUUCUGAAAGGAU